This 8648-nucleotide unclassified non-coding RNA is filed under the name Haliotis rubra (blacklip abalone). Its description in RNAcentral is "serine/threonine-protein kinase ULK2-like, transcript variant X6". The record is from RNAcentral. Lineage: Eukaryota; Metazoa; Mollusca; Gastropoda; Lepetellida; Haliotidae.
CGGUCAAAACCCAAACAUAAUCAGGUGGUCACUGACAUACGAGCGCAUUGAGAAGAAAGAAUAAAUUUGCGUUGUCAAAAGCAACUGAUUACGUCGAUGUCCGUGAAGAUCAGGAACAGUACUGACAAUAUUUAACUUCAAAAUGGAGUCCUAGAUUUUAUAUGAGUCAUGUUGGACUUUUGCGAUCAUGUAAAUCGCCUCUAACCCAGCCAUCAAUGAUGGCCCAGACCAGAUUCUGUCAGCUCUGGUCGUUCAUCUAUUCCAAUAUCAUUUUUAAUAUCGGUCCAUAGAUCUUGGAUAUUUCAAGAUACAGUAUGGAGAAUCUUGGGGAGUACGAAUACAACAAGAAAGACCUCAUCGGCCAUGGGGCAUUCGCUGUUGUCUUCAAAGGACGAAGUCGGAAGAGACCUGACAAGGCUGUCGCCAUCAAGAGUAUAACCAAGAAGAACAUUGCCAAAUCUCAGCAGCUCCUCAGCAAGGAAAUCAAGAUUCUCAAGGAGCUGUCUGAUCUCCAUCAUGAAAAUGUCGUUGGUCUCAUGGAUUGCAAGGAAACAACAAACCACGUCUACUUGGUCAUGGAGUACUGCAAUGGAGGAGAUCUGGCAGACUAUCUUCAGGCCAAGGGUACACUCAGUGAGGAUACAAUAUCUCUGUUUCUGCGACAGAUAGCUGCUGCGAUGAAGGCUCUGAAUGCAAAGGGUAUCGUUCAUCGAGACUUGAAGCCGCAAAACAUUCUCCUGUGUUACCCAGGCAGGGCUAGCCAGUCAACAACAAAAGACAUUAAGCUCAAAAUUGCUGACUUUGGGUUUGCUCGCUUCCUGCAAGAUGGUGUGAUGGCAGCAACAUUGUGUGGGUCUCCGAUGUACAUGGCACCGGAGGUGAUCAUGUCACUCCAGUAUGACGCCAAGGCUGACCUGUGGAGCAUUGGCACCAUCGUCUUCCAGUGUCUCACAGGCAAAGCUCCCUUCCAGGCACAGACACCACAGCAGCUCAAGCAGUUCUAUGAGAAACACAGCGACCUCAUGCCCAAUAUACCAAGUGGGACAUCUCCUGAGCUCAGAGACCUGCUCUUGAAACUGCUGAAAAGAAAUUCCAAAGACCGGAUAGAGUUUGAAAAUUUCUUCAGGCAUGCAUUCCUACAGCGAUCUGCCCCGAAGCCAACCAGCAAGUCUGCCCCAGUGCCAGUCCCCAACCGGAGUGCUAGCUUCUCCUCAGAGGGGUCAACCCCGGGGAAACAUGCCACCUCCGCCACGCCCCCAGCAGCCCAAAUGGAAUACACACCCCCACAUUCUCAUGGUGCUGUGAAACCCGAUGUCCUGCCCCAGCCGUCCCCGCCAGAUGAUGCCGGUUUCCUGAAGGUAGACAAGGAGGAGAUGGAUGUACGCAAGAGUCCUACAGAGGACUUUGUGUUGGUUCCUGAAGGAGAUCAUAUUGAUGUUCCUGCGAGCGCUGCCCCUAUUGCAUCAGAAGAGGAUAUGGACACUCUAGGUGACGCCCCUCCCUCUAUGAAAGCUGUAGCAGUCCAUGCCCAGGUCGGCACCGCCACCUACAAGAAGGAGACCCAGACCAGUCCUAGUCGACCCAGUACUUUGCCAGUCAACAGCCCACCCUCUCCACCCUCCUCCAACCCCAUCCCUGUCCCCACUCAGGCCCGGGCAUAUCAGAAGAUGCAGCAGACGUCACCAUCAAGUCCCCUUGCUCGGAGGGUACCAUCUUCUACGGAAAUGAGAGAGGAGUGCUCGGAAAAGGAAGUAGCCUUGUCUCGGCAGAGUUCUGAAACUAAGCUGUGUACCGGACCCGGCAUCGUCUCCCUGUCUCCCCCGAGUGUCCAGUUCAGCAUCGGCACUCCCCCCACUACGGGGUCGUGGAAGAGGAACAGCACCCCCCCUAGUAAGACCGGCAACACCCCGCCUAGUGUUACUGGCUCACCCCACAGAAAAGCUAGCCUUUCCUCACCCCGGUUUUCACCCCUCCCAUUCUGGGGAGGUCCUGGAUCUCUACCCACAAUCCUCGGCUCUCCGACUAAACUUGCUGCAUUUAACCUGGUGCCCAGUCCUGAGAUGAUGCCGCUUGAACCAGUUCAUGCACCGUUUGGAAAGUUCAGACCAAAUACUUACCCAGAAAGCAUUGCUGCUCUUGCAGCUUCUCCACCAGAAGCCCAUAGGUUGGAGUACCACCGGUCAGAUUCAGACCCCUCCUCCCUGAGUCGAGGGGGAACCAGCCUGCUCUCACAGCAGCUGCUCAAGGCUGCAUUUGGCACACAGACAGGAGCUGGUCAGAUGAUCACCUACAGUGGGAGGACAGGGAGUCGUGAGCGCCUCAACUCCGGAGGCAGUGACAAGACAGGAUCCAUGGAGAGGGAGCGUUCCUCCUCUUACUUCAGGAGAAACAGCACCUUCAACAUGGAGACAUCGCCACCAGCAUCAGGCAUGUACGCCAAGUCGCCGCCCUAUAUGGAAGGGCCAAUCACAUUUGUUGCUCCAGAACUGUCUGAGGAAACUUUGAUGGAUGAGCAGCACAAUGAGAUCAUGGCCAAGUUGAGCUUUGUCCUGGACCUAGUGGAGUGUAUCAUGGAGCUAGCCCAGGCCAGAGGUGCUGCUCUCAGCACAUUCAAUGACUCAGUCUCAUGUAAACAGGGUGAGAGUUUGCCAGCGGAACAGCUGCCUAGAUUUACAGAAGCUCAGAGGCGCCUAGAACAGCUGGUGCUGUUUGUGAGAUCGCUACACCUGCUGUCUUCAGCACUGCAGUUGUCUCGGCAGGAGAUCAAGUCUGGACGCCUCCACUCCUCUAAUGCCCUUAAAUCAGUAUUGAAGCAGAUGAAUGACUACUACCACCGGUGUGUUCUGGAGUGUCGACAGCUGCACCAGAGGCUGGGGACCACGUGUAAAACCCCCCUCACCCCCCAGCUGGUGGUGGCCACUGCCGACAAACUCAUCUACAACUACGCAAUCGAGAUGUGCCAAGGAGCUGCACUAGAUGAACUCUUCGGUAAUCCCAAGGAGUGUUUCCGUCGUUACACAGUAGCCCAGAUCCUGCUUCACAGCCUGGCACAGCAAGCACCCAACACACGAGAUAAGGACCUCCUCAAUAAGUACAAAGAGUCUGUGGAGCACCGUCUAUGUAACCUACAGAGUCAAGGCGUGAUGAAUCCGUACGAUGCUUACAGUUGAUCUACAGGCUUCUCCCAGAACUGCUGGACGGCUCCUCUACAGCUGACAGACCAGACUACAACCCAUCUUUAAUACAAAAUAGGAUAGUUGUAACAAACAGGACAUAACUUCAUAGUAGGAGGCUUUGGUUCAGCAACUGUGUCUUCAUCCUAGGGAUUAGUCAGUUAUUGGAACAUCUUCUGGUCAACAGUUGAAUGUUUGGAAUAGACGAACUGACUUGUCAUGGUUUUCUUACCAAUCGGUUAUACACCUUCAGGUUAUGUGUACUGUAAUUUCAGGAACCAUCGGAAAUGUAAACUGAGAAUUGCAGCGGUAAAGUAAGGACUUGUCAAUGUCAACUUGCAAUCCUCAAAGAUAUCAGCCUCGUCAAUAUGGUCCUAAUCUGGUCUGAAACUUCACCUAGAUCAAACCAAUUUGUGAUAUUGUCAGUUGAUUGAUGAGAAUUUUCACCUGAAGGCUUGUCUCUCAACAGAAGAACUGUCUCUAUCGGUCGUCUUGCCAUCGGUUGUUAGGACUGUCAGUCCAGAUUGCAGCCAUUGAUAACGACGUCUGACCCUGAUGUACUCAAUGGACUAGAAUUAGGUUAGACAUCUUCGGUGACGAUGGCCGAGUUGAAAUAUCAAUGAUACCUCAUUUCCGUUUGAGAAUUUUGUUACUGAACCAAACAUUUUAUGGCGUAACCGAUUUGCAUUUGAUUUACUACUGCCAUAUUGUUCUGAGUUGACACUGAAGUCGGAAGUGCAUGUGCCAAAAACAAAAGGACACCCAGAGAUCAUCUUUGGGUCACUGUUUCAAAGGAUCUUCGAUGCCUUUAAUCCUGAAAACUGCAAUUGUAUUUCUAACAUACAACACAAAUUCAUUCAAAGAUACAUUUGUUCUAUGUGUUCUAGUCUAGUUGAGGAGCCUAGACUGCUGAAACCAUUGGACAAGAACUAUAUUGAUAUAGUGCUUUUAUGGACCCUUACAUGAAAUACCUCUGAUUCUAACUUUCUGAUGUACGGAGAUAAAUUGGAAUGCAUGUAUGUUGGAUGAAUCCAAAAUACCACGGAAAGGACUUGCAACAAAUUAAUAUAAUCCAUGGUAAGAAGAGCAGCUACAUCGUUGACAUUGUUGAUUUUGUACAGAAGGCACUGGAUAUUCCUCUGCGAGGACGUAAUGCUAUGUGGAUUUGUUUCGUGUUGCUUGGCUACGUGAUGGACAUGUUCGUAUUACACCAAGCGGUGGUAUACAAGGAUGUGUUGUGUUGUACCAGAUAUGGUAACCUAUUAUCUGCUUUGAUGGGAGUUGGUCAAUUGUGAUGCAUGACCUGGCUACAGGGACAACUUUGUCUGGGAUGUUGCUGACAGCAACGGUGAUGCUGAAGCUCGUCACAUCCCAGUAGAGAAGCGCGCUGGUGAUGUAUAACAGUGAUACUCUGUGUGUAUAUGAGACAAUCUAAUUUAACUAACUACUAACUGUAAAUUGAUCUGUUGGUAUUUUGUUUGACCUCUGUCAGUUCAUCUAUUUGAGUUUGGUUCACAGACCUUUAUCUGUAACAAAAAGAAAACGUUUUUAGGUGUGUGGUUAUUUUAACACAAAAUUCUGCCGUUUUAUGUACGAUUUUAUGGUUGCCCUUUUGUAGCAAAAUUCAUUUUAUUGUGGACUUGUGUCAUUUGUCUGUGAGAAUUUAUUCAUCAAUUCUUUCAAGUAAGUUGCUGUUAUUUUCAGUUAUGAAAGCUCUUACUGGUGAAAGAAGUUGACUCUUGACAAAAACACAAUCAGGCAACGUUCAAUAGUAGCUCUUUUAGUAUGUUUAGAAUUAGAAUAAGAACUCAUUAGCCAGCUCAUGAAGUCAUGAACUACAAAUGUUAUUUUUGAAUUUGAGUCAGAAAACAAUUUUGAUACACUAGUCAGUGGAUGUGCGAUUCAAUUCACCUAGUCUUUUAGUAACGUUUUAUACGACGGAAACUUGUACCAUGCCUUUAUUCACUCGAUUUAGAUUUGUUCUACGUUCAGUAAAGAACAGGCCUGUAUCCUAUAUCCAACUCUGCAGUUCUUCGUCUAUAGUGCUAUGUGUAUCAUAUAUAUCUUCAGUCAUAUAUCAACCAUGGGCUCUAUUGCUUGGUAGACUGCCUAUAAAGUGUUUGAUAUAAGGGAUGUCAUUUAGGUUAGCUGAAGAAGUAAACAAACGUAGCAUGUCAUGGAUGCCCUGCAGUCUUUAGUGAUAACACUAGUGUUUAUGACAAAGACUUUCAUGCUUGAGUUUGAACGCUGCCUUAGCUGUAUUCCCAUAUUUGGUGCCAUUCCCAACCAUUCCUUUCUAUAAUGUAUUCCAGCAUUGAAUCGGUUCUGAUAGAAAUAUUUCAUGUUUUUAUAGUAUGCUCACACUCAGUGUGUAAAGAUAUUAAAACAUAAAUAACCAUUUGUUUGUACAUUUCUUGCAACUCAUGUGAUGUAUUUAAGUUAAUUUAUAAAAUAUGAAAAAAAUUAGCUGUUUCUUUUAUGUUGAACAUGUACUUUGCUUAUAGUAUAUUGUGAUAGAAGCUGUUUUUUGUAUAGAAUUUACCAUGCAUGUCAAUGUAGAUAGCAUUUUCACAUGGAUUUUUUGUUUUAUUUGUACAUAGCCCUGUUGAAAGUGCCUGAUAUCCAAAGGCAUUAUGUUAUAUUAGAUGUAAAUAGCCGAAAGAUUUUAUUUCCUUUUAUUAUUUAUUACCCCAUGCUAAGAAAGCAACAUCAAGUCGUGAAUGUGAUAUAUGUUGUGACAAUGUGAAUGUGUAUUUGUGGUACACAUUAAGCCUACAGUUGACGUUAUGUUGCAUUGGACUGCAAUUUAAUUUAAGAUGUGUGCGUAUGAAAGAAUGUUUUAAUGCAUUUAGACUUUUUAGUAUAUGUGUACGUCACCCUCGUUGUUGCCACUGUAUCUUGUGUCAUCCCUUUAUGCAAUAUUCACAGCCUAUAUAUAUUAUUUCUCUCAUUGCUAACAUGGGAGAGUUCUUCGAUCUUGGAAUUACAUCUGCAUUCUCUCCAUGUCUCACUCUAAUCAUGUCCGCAACCUUUUUGCUCUUGAAAUCACCAGGAUCUCUACUGAUGGAGUUGUACAAAUAGACCUAGCAAUUAGACUUCAGGGAAGGUUGUUUGAUACCUCAUCAUAAAGGACUCUGCUUCUGGGACCCAAUUCACAAAGCAUUUGUAAUGUUACUAUCGUUACUCUAUACUGUAUCAUUGGCUUACUAAUGACAUAGUGCUACAAAGGCUUUGUGGAUAAGGUCCCUGGGUCCAGUUCCACAAUGAGUUCGUAAUGUUACGACCUGUCGUAACCCUAUACUGUAUCAUUGGCUUAUGAAUGAUUUAGCACUACAAACACUUUGUGGAUGAGGUCCCGGAGUCCCGAGCCACAAAGAGUUUGUAAUGUUACGACAUGUCAUAACUCAAUAGUUUAUCAUAGGCUUACAAAUGUCGUAGCACUACGAACUCUUUGUGAAUCAGGACUCUGGUACUCCAAGCUCAGUGCAGUCUGGAGUCAUAUUGUUCCGGCAAGGGAGGCGAUGCUGGCCAUAAAAGCCCGAGUCAAGCAUCACUUGUCCCGAUUAACUAAGCUUGGUGAACCAGCUGUUUCAUUGUCAUCUUAUCGCUGUUAACUGUUCAUGUAAUCAGUGUCACAAUUUGUCAUCAAACCAAUUUUCCACUAGCAUGACUAUGAAGCACCAUCUCAACUUGAAUAAAUUUAUUACGGAUAUCACUGCUUGUUUGUAUCCUAUUUCUUACUGAAAUUCAUCUUCAUAUAUAUGAAAAUAUAUCAACUGCUCUGUUAGGGUUAGAUGUUUACUGUGUACAAGAUCGUUUGUUUUAUAGUUUGAAGGAGAAAGCUCCCUAUUGGUUUAUUGGUGGUAUGUAUAUACACAUGUAUAUGAUCAUUACAUCAUGCUUUGUGUACACUGCCCAAUCAUAAGUAUAGACCAUGCCCCUUUCUACUUCUUCAUCCAAUACAUCAAUGUAUGGGCAUUACUGUCAUAGAGCUCUGGCCAGGUUAUUCCAGUGGUAGACCAUGAGCUUUACACAACUUCAAUCCCUGAUUUAUUCUCAGUAUAAUGUCUCUAUUUCUAUAAAUACCAAGGACCUUUCUCGCAGCCAUGGAUUUGAAAGUGAUGUUGAAAUUCCUGUCUCCUCAUCUGUAACUCAGCACGAAUAUGUCUUGCUCAUGGACAUAAUUUGAUUGGAUGUUUAUUCACAACAUUGUGCAAGUAAGCCAUGCUCAAAAUGAAGAAAUAGUGGCAUGUGAAUUUUGGUUUGUCCACGAGGUGGCCAGGAAUAAUAAAGUUGUGGAUGAACGUUACGGCAAGGAAAGAUAACUCUUCCUAUAAGAUCUUGACAUUCAUUAACUGAUAUUGAAACCAGAAUUUUUUACAAAAUGAUUAAAUGAAUCACUCAAGGAUGAGUGUUCUCUUUUCAAGUGUUCCUGAACUAGUAGUCUGAUCCACCAGAACACGAGGGGCUUCAUAUUGUCAUGAGAUGUCAGGGAGAAGGGUUUACUGCAUGGCCUUGUUCCACAGAGCAGUCGUAAUGCUGCAUGUUGUAAGUUAAAAUUAAAAUGGUAAGACAAAGAGUGUCAUGCUGUGUCUGAGUGUGAUAUCCAUGUCAAACUGUUAGAAUUGAUCUUCAGUAACCCAUGCUUGUCGUAAAUGGGUGGUCAGGCUCGCUGACUUUGCUGGCACGUCAUCGUAUCCCAGUUGCGUAGAUCGAUGCUCAUGCUGUGGAUGACUGGAUUGUCUGGUCCAGACUCAAGUAUUUACACCACCAUAUAGCUGGAAUAUUGCUGAGUGUGGCGUAAAACUUGACUCACUCACUCCCUGAUGCAUGUAUCUCCUUGGAUAAACACUAUACAUGGCUGCAAACCACUGUGUAAGUGCAAUGGCCUUAAAUGCGACUUUUAUGAUCACUAUUUGAAAUAAUAAAAAGUAUGAUAGUGUUGAGAUCACAGUUGGAACAGGUCAGAUAAGAUCACUUGGUUAACAUCAGACUUUCAUCCACAAUUUUUUUACCCUGAGCUUGUAAUUACCUACAGUUUAGGACCUAGCAUGUGCUGCUAGUUCUUGAAAUACAAUGUUGAAGUUAGAGCUAUCUGUUUUCUUCAUCCUUUCAUUGCCAGUACUUCAUGGGGUUUUCCACAACUGUCCUCCUUCAUCCAUGGAUACAUGUGGCUUCUUUGUGAUACGAUACUUUUGAACGAUAAAUCAAAUGGCUUUGUAUAUUCAUAGAUAAAUAGAAGACCUAGUUCUGACAAGUGAGAGAUCAACAACAUGAGCAUCGAUCUGCACAAUUGGGAACCGAUGACGUGUGUCAACCAAGUCAGCGAGCCUGACUACCUGAUCCCGAUAGACGCCUCUUGCGACAAGCAUGGGCUACUGACGGCCAAUAUUCUAACCCGGACCUUCAUGGGUCAGUUCCGACAAGAGGGAAGACAGAGAGUGAUAAGACCAAUGACCAGGUAGAUGACUUGGG